Molecule: ribosomal RNA, 465 nt
Filed under: uncultured bacterium
Lineage: Bacteria
Description: partial 16S ribosomal RNA
Rfam family: Bacterial small subunit ribosomal RNA
Source: RNAcentral
CCUACGGGAGGCAGCAGUGGGGAAUAUUGCGCAAUGGGCGAAAGCCUGACGCAGCGACGCCGCGUGAGGGAUGAAGGUCUUCGGAUCGUAAACCUCUGUCAGCAGGGAAGAACGGUCACUGUGCUAAUCAGCAGUGAAUUGACGGUACCUGCGAAGGAAGCACCGGCUAACUCCGUGCCAGCAGCCGCGGUAAUACGGAGGGUGCGAGCGUUAACCGGAAUUACUGGGCGUAAAGCGCUCGUAGGCGGUACGUCAAGUCAGGGGUGAAAUCCCCGCGCUCAACGUGGGAACUGCGUUUGAAACUGGUGAACUGGAGUGCGUGAGAGGAAAGUGGAAUUCCAGGUGUAGGGGUGGAAUCCGUAGAUAUUAGGAGGAACAUCAGUGGCGAAGGCGACUAUCUGGCACGUAACUGACGCUGAGGAGCGAAAGCGUGGGGAGCAAACAGGAUUAGAUACCCCAGUAGUC